Molecule: ribosomal RNA, 460 nt
Filed under: uncultured bacterium
Lineage: Bacteria
Description: SSU rRNA
Rfam family: Bacterial small subunit ribosomal RNA
Source: RNAcentral
AGAACGAACGCUGGCGGCAGGCUUAACACAUGCAAGUCGAACGCUCCUAGCAAUAGGGGAGUGGCAGACGGGUGAGUAACGCGUGGGAACAUACCCUCCGGUUCGGAAUAACUCAGGGAAACUUGAGCUAAUACCGGAUACGGCCUUUAGUCGAAGGAUUGGCGGCGAAAGAUUUAUCGCCGGAGGAUUGGCCCGCGUCCGAUUAGCUAGUUGGUGUGGUAAUGGCGCACCAAGGCGACGAUCGGUAGCUGGUCUGAGAGGAUGAUCAGCCACAUUGGGACUGAGACACGGCCCAAACUCCUACGGGAGGCAGCAGUGGGGAAUAUUGGACAAUGGGCGCAAGCCUGAUCCAGCCAUGCCGCGUGAGUGAUGACGGCCUUAGGGUUGUAAAGCUCUUUCGCUCGGGACGAUAAUGACGGUACCGAGAUAAGAGCCCGGCUAACUUCGUGCCAGCAGCCGC